UAAAUUUUUUAGGGUUAAUUUUUUAAGGUUUGGUAAGAACUUAUUUAAUCAAUCAUUUGGAAUCAUAAUAAACUAAAAGUUGCUGCUACUACUCAGCGGAGAGCCUUGGACCUGCUGUAGGAGUAACCUAUUACCUUCUGGGUGGAAUUGCCACAACAUGGACAUUCUUAUGCCUCUUCUUAUCCGAGCAGUCACACCAGAAAUCAACCAGAAAAGCAACCACCAGAACACACAAAACCUUUUUCCAGCAAGCCUCAAGCUCACAAAACAACCAGCUAAGUCAAAUCCCAUCCUGUUUUCCCUUUUGUUCGCCGCUCCAAGUAGUUCAGCCGAGGAGCUCCAAGUUCUGAUGAAGCGGAAUAAAGCAGUCAGCAGUUCUAAAGCUCCGUGUUCUGGCGGAAGUAUACUUCCAAUACACAUCCCCUUUCCCCUUAACAUUUUUCUUUUUCCAUUUACGCAGGCAACUAGCUGUUCGAACCAGUUCCAUCUACGAGCUCUCCGCUAAAUAACCUGAAACCCUUUCUAGCCUUUUCUAUCGCAGCAAACGAGCUGGACAAGCUCAAAUUCCGGAUGUAGGUAACCAGGAUCAGCACGCAAUGCGUUGUUGAUCCAUAUUGAGCUCUAGAGUCAGUGGUGAACCUUCUUCCAUUCCAGAGGAUCUUUUUAUUGCUUUCUAGUUAGUUUAACAGAAUGUUGUGGGGGUUUUCCCAACAUUCAUCUCAGUCAGUUUAGAGGCUUUGUAAACAUAUAGUAAUUUAGAUUGUUCAGUUCUAUUUCUCUUUUAUAUUACAUUUCAGAUGCUCUAACUUUGAGACACAA
Long non-coding RNA from Solanum lycopersicum (tomato), 819 nucleotides. RefSeq lists it as uncharacterized. Lineage: Eukaryota; Viridiplantae; Streptophyta; Magnoliopsida; Solanales; Solanaceae. The record is from RefSeq and is a predicted model, not a curated record.